AAGACUAUACUUUUAGGGAUUAUUUCUAUAGUUUUUAACUCGGAAAUGUGUUUCCAAACUGUUGUGUCUUCUAAACCAGAUGAAAAGUAUUUAUACUUUUUUUCUGAGAGUGAAUCGGAUGUAGAAUAAUGAUUUACAUCAUAUGCUUUACAUUAUUGAUGAAUGUUUUUUACUGUUGUUUUGCAGUUAUGAGGAAGAGAGUAUGAUUAGAGUGGU
The sequence is a small nucleolar RNA, 216 nucleotides long. Its record names the gene U3. It matches the Rfam family "Small nucleolar RNA U3". From Rfam's summary of the family: Small nucleolar RNAs (snoRNAs) are involved in the processing and modification of rRNA in the nucleolus. There are two main classes of snoRNAs: the box C/D class, and the box H/ACA class. The record is from Ensembl.